CACGUAGGGCGCAAGCGUUGUCCGGAAUUAUUGGGCGUGAGGAGCUCGUAGGUGGUUUGUUACGUCUGCUGUGAAAACCUAGGGCUUAACCCUGGGCUUGCAGUGGAUACGGGCAGACUAGAGGUAGGUAGGGGAGAAUGGAAUUCCUGGUGUAGCGGUGAAAUGCGCAGAUAUCAGGAGGAACACCGGUGGCGAAGGCGGUUCUCUGGGCCUUAACUGACACUGAGGAGCGAAAGCGUGGGGAGCGAACAGG
This 253-nucleotide ribosomal RNA is filed under the name uncultured bacterium. RNAcentral's name for it is "partial 16S ribosomal RNA". It matches the Rfam family "Bacterial small subunit ribosomal RNA", at positions 524 to 776 of the family's 1533-position model. The record is from RNAcentral.